RNAcentral lists this ribosomal RNA (400 nucleotides) under uncultured bacterium. RNAcentral describes it as "bacterial SSU rRNA". It matches the Rfam family "Bacterial small subunit ribosomal RNA", at positions 356 to 773 of the family's 1533-position model. The record is from RNAcentral.
GGGGAAUAUUGGACAAUGGGCGCAAGCCUGAUCCAGCAAUGCCGCGUGAGUGAUGAAGGCCUUAGGGUUGUAAAGCUCUUUUACCCGGGAUGAUAAUGACAGUACCGGGAGAAUAAGCCCCGGCUAACUCCGUGCCAGCAGCCGCGGUAAUACGGAGGGGGCUAGCGUUGUUCGGAAUUACUGGGCGUAAAGCGUACGUAGGCGGCUUUGUAAGUUAGAGGUGAAAGCCUGGAGCUCAACUCCAGAACUGCCUUUAAGACUGCAUCGCUUGAAUCCAGGAGAGGUGAGUGGAAUUCCGAGUGUAGAGGUGAAAUUCGUAGAUAUUCGGAAGAACACCAGUGGCGAAGGCGGCUCACUGGACUGGGAUUGACGCUGAGGUACGAAAGCGUGGGGAGCAAAC